Molecule: ribosomal RNA, 496 nt
Filed under: uncultured bacterium
Lineage: Bacteria
Description: partial 16S ribosomal RNA
Rfam family: Bacterial small subunit ribosomal RNA
Source: RNAcentral
AUGCACGCUGGCGGCGUGCCUAAUACAUGCAAGUCGCGCGAACAGACGAGGAACUUGCUCCUCUGACGUUAGCGGCGGACGGGUGAGUAACACGUGGAUAACCUACCUAUAAGACUGGGAUAACUUCGGGAAACCGGAGCUAAUACCGGAUAAUAUAUUGAACCGCAUGGUUCAAUAGUGAAAGACGGUUUUGCUGUCACUUAUAGAUGGAUCCGCGCCGCAUUAGCUAGUUGGUAAGGUAACGGCUUACCAAGGCAACGAUGCGUAGCCGACCUGAGAGGGUGAUCGGCCACACUGGAACUGAGACACGGUCCAGACUCCUACGGGAGGCAGCAGUAGGGAAUCUUCCGCAAUGGGCGAAAGCCUGACGGAGCAACGCCGCGUGAGUGAUGAAGGUCUUCGGAUCGUAAAACUCUGUUAUUAGGGAAGAAUAAAUGUGUAAGUAACUAUGCACGUCUUGACGGUACCUAAUCAGAAAGCCACGGCUAACUACGUG